ACGUGUUGGUAUUGUAGGUUGAAUCACGAGGAGUGCGAGGUGACUUUGGGGUUAGAGUCGAUAAUGUAGCAUCGAUAUCCAGAUUUUGUUGUAGGAGAGGUGUGAGCAAGUUUUGAGGAUGAAACUUCUUUUAAGGAGAGGAUGAUGUGAGGACCGAGCAUUUUUCUAUGUAUGUUUGACAUAUUUUUAAAUGUUAUCGUGUGUAUUUUAAUUUUUAGAUUG
This 222-nucleotide long non-coding RNA is filed under the name Ananas comosus (pineapple). RNAcentral describes it as "long non-coding RNA (ACOM_LNC042600)". Lineage: Eukaryota; Viridiplantae; Streptophyta; Magnoliopsida; Poales; Bromeliaceae. The record is from RNAcentral.